UACGGAGGGUGCAAGCGUUAUCCGGAUUCACUGGGUUUAAAGGGUGCGUAGGCGGGCAGGUAAGUCCGUGGUGAAAUCCCCGAGCUUAACUCGGGAACUGCCAUGGAUACUAUUUGUCUUGAAUAUUGUGGAGGUAAGCGGAAUAUGUCAUGUAGCGGUGAAAUGCUUAGAUAUGACAUAGAACACCAAUUGCGAAGGCAGCUCACUACACAAUCAUUGACGCUGAGGCACGAAAGCGUGGGGAUCAAACAGG
This 253-nucleotide ribosomal RNA is filed under the name uncultured bacterium. Its description in RNAcentral is "partial 16S ribosomal RNA". It matches the Rfam family "Bacterial small subunit ribosomal RNA", at positions 524 to 776 of the family's 1533-position model. The record is from RNAcentral.